RNAcentral lists this unclassified non-coding RNA (186 nucleotides) under fungal sp. RNAcentral's name for it is "partial internal transcribed spacer region". The stretch from base 1 to 46 matches the Rfam family "Eukaryotic small subunit ribosomal RNA", at positions 1786 to 1831 of the family's 1831-position model. Lineage: Eukaryota; Fungi. The record is from RNAcentral.
AAGUCGUAACAAGGUUUCCGUAGGUGAACCUGCGGAAGGAUCAUCGUUGGGAUUUUAUUCUGUGUUGUUGUGGACACGGAUGUUUUUCUUUCAGACCCCAACCAAGAGGAGAGGAGUUGACUGAGGCUUUUUGUUGUGGAGGGAGAAAAAGGACAAAACUUUCAACAACGGAUCUCUUGGCUCUCA